UAGGGAAUCUUCGGCAAUGGGGGGAACCCUGACCGAGCAACGCCGCGUGAGUGAAGAAGGUUUUCGGAUCGUAAAGCUCUGUUGUUAAGGAAGAACGAGUGUGAGAAUGGAAAGUUCAUACUGUGACGGUACUUAACCAGAAAGGGACGGCUAACUACGUGCCAGCAGCCGCGGUAAUACGUAGGUCCCGAGCGUUGUCCGGAUUUAUUGGGCGUAAAGCGAGCGCAGGCGGUUAGAUAAGUCUGAAGUUAAAGGCAGUGGCUCAACCGUGGAGGGUCAUUGGAAACUGUUAAACUUGAGUGCAGGAGAGAAAAGUGGAAUUCCUAGUGUAGCGGUGAAAUGCGUAGAGAUUAGGAGGAACACCAGUGGCGAAGGCGGCUUUUUGGCCUGUAACUGACACUGAGGCGCGAAAGCGUGGGGAGCAAACAGGAUUAGAUACCCUGGUAGUCCACGCCGUAAACGAUGAGUGCUAAGUGUUGGUCUCAUAAGAGAUCAGUGCUGCAGCUAACGCAUUAAGCACUCCGCCUGGGGAGUACGACCGCAAGGUUG
RNAcentral lists this ribosomal RNA (549 nucleotides) under uncultured bacterium. RNAcentral describes it as "bacterial SSU rRNA". It matches the Rfam family "Bacterial small subunit ribosomal RNA", at positions 355 to 896 of the family's 1533-position model. The record is from RNAcentral.